This 362-nucleotide ribosomal RNA is filed under the name uncultured bacterium. RNAcentral's name for it is "bacterial SSU rRNA". It matches the Rfam family "Bacterial small subunit ribosomal RNA", at positions 28 to 408 of the family's 1533-position model. The record is from RNAcentral.
GACGAACGCUGGCGGCGUGCCUAACACAUGCAAGUCAAGGCGGUAGCAAUACCGACUGGCGCACGGGUGCGGAACACGUAGGUAAUCUGCCCUUUAGGGGAGAACAACUAGCCGAAAGGUUAGCUAAAUCUCCGUAACGUCUAACUAUGGCAUCAUAGAUUGACCAAGUUUUCUAAGGGAUGAGCCUGCGUCUGAUUAGCUAGUUGGUGAGGUAAUGGCUCACCAAGCCGACGAUCUGUAGCUGGUCUGAGAGGACGACCAGCCACACUGGGACUGAGACACGGCCCAGACUCCUACGGGAGGCAGCAGUGGGGAAUUUUGACAAUGGGCGCAAGCCUGAUCCAGCCAUUCCGCGUGCAGGA